AUUGAACGCUGGCGGCAUGCUUUACACAUGCAAGUCGAACGGUAACAGGCCUUCGGGUGCUGACGAGUGGCGAACGGGUGAGUAAUGCAUCGGAACGUGCCCAGAGGUGGGGGAUAACGCAGCGAAAGCUGUGCUAAUACCGCAUGUGAUCUGAGGAUGAAAGCGGGGGACCAGGCAGCAAUGUUUGGCCUCGCGCCUUUGGAGCGGCCGAUGUCAGAUUAGGUAGUUGGUGGGGUAAAGGCCUACCAAGCCGACGAUCUGCAGCUGGUCUGAGAGGACGACCAGCCACACUGGGACUGAGACACGGCCCAGACUCCUACGGGAGGCAGCAGUGGGGAAUUUUGGACAAUGGGCGCAAGCCUGAUCCAGCAAUGCCGCGUGCGGGAAGAAGGCCUUCGGGUUGUAAACCGCUUUUGUACGGAACGAAAAGGAUCUGGCUAAUACCUGGGGCUGAUGACGGUACCGUAAGAAUAAGCACCGGCUAACUACGUG
This 492-nucleotide ribosomal RNA is filed under the name uncultured bacterium. RNAcentral's name for it is "partial 16S ribosomal RNA". It matches the Rfam family "Bacterial small subunit ribosomal RNA", at positions 30 to 507 of the family's 1533-position model. The record is from RNAcentral.